Molecule: long non-coding RNA, 2703 nt
Organism: Salvelinus fontinalis (brook trout)
Lineage: Eukaryota; Metazoa; Chordata; Actinopteri; Salmoniformes; Salmonidae
Exons: 3
Source: RefSeq, a predicted model, not a curated record
AGGAGUAAACAUUUGCUUAACAACUCACAUUAUAGGUUGCAUGGACUUCUGUCUGUGUGCAAUAAUAGUGUUUAACAUGAUUGUUGAACGACUACCUCAUCUCUAUAGCCCACACAUAUGAUUACCUGGAAGGUUCCUCAAUCGAGCAGUGAAUUUCAAACACAGAAUCAACCACAAAGACCAGGGAGAUUUUGCAAUGCCUCUCAAAGAAGGGAACCAUUUAGUAGACUCAAGGUUUAGAAUAGUUACGUAAUUAAAAUAUAUUACUCUUUAACUUCUACUUCAUCCCAAUCCCGGAUCCGGGAGCACCCCCAUCAGUAAAAAAGCUGACUAGCAUAGCCUAGCAUAGCGUCACAAGUAAAUACUAGCAUCUAAAUAUCAUUAAAUCACAAGUCCAAGACACCAGAUGAAAGAUACACAUCUUGUGAAUCCAGCCAUCAUUUCUGAUUUUUAAAAUGUUUUACCGGGAAGACACGAUAUGUAUUUCUAUUAGCUAACCACGAUAGCAAAAGACACAACUUUUUUUCCCACCAUUUUUUUUCCUGCAUAGGUAGCUAUCACAAUUUCGACCAAAUAAAGAUAGAAAUAGUCACUAACCAAGAAACAACUUCAUCAGAUGACAGUCUGAUAACAUAUUUGUUGUAUAGCAUAUGUUUUGUUAGAAAAAUGUGCAUAUUUCAGGUUUAAAUCAUAGUUUUACAUUGCAGCCACCAUCACAACUCUCACCAAGGUAACUAGAAUAACUACAGAGACCAACGUGAAUUACCUAAAUACUCAUCAUAAAACAUUUAUGAAAAAUACACAGCGUACAGCAAAUGAAAGACAAAGAUCUUGUCACGAAUCCCGCUUCCUGAGUCUGUUUUUGCCUGUGUUCUGUCCUGGAAUGUUUUUUCCGGUGUCCUGGAACACACCCUGUCUGGUUGCCGGGCGACGUAGCUAGUUGGAGGAUCUCUGAGUACCCGCACCUGUAUCCCAUCAGCUAUCUGCACACCUGGUCCUGAUCAUCACCCCUCCACUUCAUAAGCGCUGACCUGACAUCCAUUCCCUGCCGGAUCGUUAGCCACGAACAGUAUGUUGUGCCAGCGUAUCAGCCUCCAGUUUGAUAGAGUUUGUUUUGUUGUUUUGUACGUCUUGCUUGCCUUGAACUCACCUCCGUUUUUUCUGUCUACAGUCAUUCACCCGGAACACUCAUCCCAUCCCUACCUGGUCGUCGGUGACUUCAGUUACUUCCUUGGAUCUGCCAAUUCAAUCCCAUCAACUCACCUCCGCGGCCCGUACCGCCACUUGGAUUUUUCUAUCACUACAUUUAAACUUGUAAAUAAAUACUCACCUUCGUCUUACUCUCCUUGUCCUGGUCUGCUUCUGGGUUCUACUUUGGAAACCCGUGACAGAUCUUGUGAAUCAAGCCAAUAUUUCUGAUUUUUUAAGUGUUUUACAGCGAAAACACAAUAUAGCAUUAUAUUAGCUUACUACAAUAGCCAACCACACAGCAGCAUUGAUUCAAGCCAACAAUAGCGAUAACGAAUAAACCAGCAAAAGAUAUAAAUUUUUUCACUAACCUUCUCAAACCUCUUCAGAUGACAGUCCUAUAGCAUCAUAUUACACAAUACAUAUAGAGUUUGUUCGAAAAUGUGCAUAUUUAGCGGCACAAAUCGUGGUUAUACAAUGAGAAUAGUAGCCAAGCUGACAACAAAAUGUUGGGAGAAAUCUUGGGAGGCACCUAAUCUAAUCAUUAACUAAUCAUAAACUUGACAAAAAAAUACAGGUUGGACAGCAAAUGAAAGAUACAUUAGUUCUUAAUGCAACCGCUGUGUUACCUUUUUUAAAUUAACGUUACUACGACAUACAGCGUGAAAAGAGGAGUUCUAUAGGAUUGCAGAUGGUCUGCAAUGCUGACUGUGUGAUCAGCAAUGUUGUGGCAAAAUGGCCUGGCUCAGUCCAUGACUCCAGAAUCUUUCGGGCCUCUGAAAUCUAUCAGUGCCUAUCACAAGGUGAAUUCUCUGGUAUGUUGCUGGGAGACAGGGGGUAUGGCUGCCAGCCUUUUCUCCUGACAACUUUCACAGACCCCCAGGAAGCACAGCAGGCCUACAACCAUGCCCAUGCCAGGACCAGGGCCAGAGUUUAAAUGACCUUUGGCCUCCUGAAGGCACGCUUUCACUGCCUUCACAAAUUAAGGGUCAGCCCUGUUAGGGCAUGUGAUAUUACUGUGGCUUGUGCUGUCCUCCACAAUGUGGCCUGCCUGAGGAAGGAGAGGGCCCCCAGAGUGCCACCAGCCAUGGACUGGGACAAUCCGGCAAUCUUCCCUGAUGACGACAGUGGUCGGCUGCUGAGGGACCAAUAUGUGUUGAAUUAUUUUAGUUAGUAUGUGUGCUUUCAAUUUUGGUUAAAUAUGUCCUGCGGUGGCAGAGGAAUUUGGUUUUUUUUGGGUUCGUUUUUUUACGAAUUUGGCCUCUUAUGAUGUUUGUGCGGUAUACUGUGUGUAAUACAAGGCUGCAGGGAGGCUACUGCAUCCAUUCAUUUGUCUGUUCAGUUGAUGUGUAUGGAUUUGUCCUGCAUUUAUUUUAGUGUGCAGACAUGCAGGGUGUGUUAUAUACAGACCUUUGAAUGUGUAUGUAUCAUUUUGUAUAAUAUGCUUGGAUUCUGUGCUUUCCAUCUUGUAGAGUCACUGUGUCUUCAGUUUCGAAAGGAGCUGAUGGUUUACCU